Molecule: ribosomal RNA, 862 nt
Filed under: uncultured organism
Description: bacterial SSU rRNA
Rfam family: Archaeal small subunit ribosomal RNA
Source: RNAcentral
CAGCACCUCAAGUGGUCAGGAUGAUUAUUGGGCCUAAAGCAUCCGUAGCCGGCUCUAUAAGUUUUCGGUUAAAUCUGUACGCUCAACGUACAGGCUGCCGGGAAUACUGCAGAGCUAGGGAGUGGGAGAGGUAGACGGUACUCGGGAGGAAGGGGUAAAAUCCUUUGAUCUCUCGAUGACCACCUGUGGCGAAGGCGGUCUACCAGAACACGUCCGACGGUGAGGGAUGAAAGCUGGGGGAGCAAACCGGAUUAGAUACCCGGGUAGUCCCAGCUGUAAACUAUGCAAACUCAGUGAUGCAUUGACUUGUGGUCAAUGCAGUGCUGCAGGGAAGCCGUUAAGUUUGCCGCCUGGGAAGUACGUACGCAAGUAUGAAACUUAAAGGAAUUGGCGGGGGAGCACCACAAGGGGUGAAGCCUGCGGUUCAAUUGGAGUCAACGCCAGAAAUCUUACCCGGAGAGACAGCAGAAUGAAGGUCAAGCUGAAGACUUUACCAGACAAGCUGAGAGGUGGUGCAUGGCCGUCGCCAGCUCGUGCCGUGAGAUGUCCUGUUAAGUCAGGUAACGAGCGAGAUCCCUGCCUCUAGUUGUCACCAUUACUCUCAGGAGUAGUGGGGCGAAUUAGCGGGACCGCCGCAGUUAAUGCGGAGGAAGGAAGGGGCCACGGCAGGUCAGUAUGCCCCGAAACUCUGGGGCCACACGCGGGCUGCAAUGGUAAUGACAAUGUGUUCCAAAUCCGAAAGGAGGAGGUAAUCCCCAAACAUUACCACAGUUAUGACUGAGGGCUGCAACUCGCCCUCACGAAUAUGGAAUCCCUAGUAACUGCGUGUCAUUAUCGCGCGGUGAAUACGUCCCUGCUCCUU